UACGUAGGGGGCUAGCGUUGUCCGGAAUCAUUGGGCGUAAAGAGCGUGUAGGCGGCCCGGUAAGUCCGCUGUGAAAGUCGGGGGCUCAACCCUCGGAUGCCGGUGGAUACUGUCGGGCUAGAGUACGGAAGAGGCGAGUGGAAUUCCUGGUGUAGCAGUGAAAUGCGCAGAUAUCAGGAGGAACACCUAUUGCGAAGGCAGCUCGCUGGGACGUUACUGACGCUGAGACGCGAAAGCGUGGGGAGCAAACAGG
RNAcentral lists this ribosomal RNA (253 nucleotides) under uncultured bacterium. RNAcentral describes it as "partial 16S ribosomal RNA". It matches the Rfam family "Bacterial small subunit ribosomal RNA", at positions 524 to 776 of the family's 1533-position model. The record is from RNAcentral.